This 432-nucleotide ribosomal RNA is filed under the name uncultured bacterium. RNAcentral's name for it is "partial 16S ribosomal RNA". It matches the Rfam family "Bacterial small subunit ribosomal RNA", at positions 29 to 507 of the family's 1533-position model. The record is from RNAcentral.
AACGAACGCUGGCGGCAUGCCUAACACAUGCAAGUCGAACGAGACCUUCGGGUCUAGUGGCGCACGGGUGCGGAACGCGUGGGAAUCUACCCUCAGGUUCGGAAUAACUCAGAGAAAUUUGAGCUAAUACCGGAUGAUGACGUCAGACCAAAGAUUUAUCGCAUGAGGAUGAGCACGCUUAGGAUUAGGUAGUUGGUGAGGUAAAGGCUCACCAAGCCGACGAUCCUUAGCUGGUAUGAGAGGAUGAUCAGCCACACUGGGACAGGGACACGGCCCAAACUCCGACGGAAGGCAGCAGGGGUGAUUAUGGGACAAUGGGCGAAAGCCGAAGCCAGCAAUGCCGCGAGAGUGAUGAGGGCCUUAGGAUUGUAAAGCGCUUUUACCCGGGAUGAUAUUAACGUUACCGGGAGAAAAAGCCCCGGCUAACUCGUG